Molecule: transfer RNA, 73 nt
Filed under: Planctomycetota bacterium
Lineage: Bacteria; Pseudomonadati; Planctomycetota
Also listed under: 1 other name
Description: Planctomycetes bacterium tRNA-Thr
Rfam family: tRNA
About the family: Transfer RNA (tRNA) molecules are approximately 80 nucleotides in length. Their secondary structure includes four short double-helical elements and three loops (D, anti-codon, and T loops).
Source: RNAcentral
GCCACCCUAGCUCAAUUGGCAGAGCAGCGGUUUUGUAAACCGCAGGUUGUCGGUUCGAUUCCGAUGGGUGGCU